Molecule: ribosomal RNA, 440 nt
Filed under: uncultured bacterium
Lineage: Bacteria
Description: partial 16S ribosomal RNA
Rfam family: Bacterial small subunit ribosomal RNA
Source: RNAcentral
CCUACGGGAGGCAGCAGUGGGGAAUAUUGCACAAUGGGGGAAACCCUGAUGCAGCGACGCCGCGUGAGUGAAGAAGUAUUUCGGUACGUAAAGCUCUAUCAGCAGGGAAGAAAAUGACGGUACCUGACUAAGAAGCCCCGGCUAACUACGUGCCAGCAGCCGCGGUAAUACGUAGGGGGCAAGCUUUAUCCGGAUUUACUGGGUGUAAAGGGAGCGUAGACGGCAGCGCAAGUCUGGAGUGAAAUCCCAUGGCUUAACCAUGGAACUGCUUUGGAAACUGUGCAGCUAGAGUGCAGGAGAGGUAAGCGGAAUUCCUAGUGUAGCGGUGAAAUGCGUAGAUAUUAGGAGGAACACCAGUGGCGAAGGCGGCUUACUGGACUGUAACUGACGUUGAGGCUCGAAAGCGUGGGGAGCAAACAGGAUUAGAUACCCCUGUAGUC